Molecule: ribosomal RNA, 253 nt
Filed under: uncultured bacterium
Lineage: Bacteria
Description: partial 16S ribosomal RNA
Rfam family: Bacterial small subunit ribosomal RNA
Source: RNAcentral
GACGAACCGUGCGAACGUUGUUCGGAAUCACUGGGCUUAAAGGGCGCGUAGGCGGGCGGCCGCGUCCGGGGUGAAAUCCCACGGCUCAACCGUGGAACGGCCUCGGAUACGGGCGGCCUCGAGGGGGGUAGGGGCAUCUGGAACUGUGAGUGGAGCGGUGAGAUGCGUUGAUAUUCACAGGAACUCCGGUGGCGAAGGCGAGGUGCUGGACCCCAUCUGACGCUGAGGCGCGAAAGCCAGGGGAGCGAACGGG